RNAcentral lists this ribosomal RNA (200 nucleotides) under uncultured bacterium. Its description in RNAcentral is "partial 16S ribosomal RNA". It matches the Rfam family "Bacterial small subunit ribosomal RNA", at positions 8 to 230 of the family's 1533-position model. The record is from RNAcentral.
AGAGUUUGAUCCUGGCUCAGAGCGAACGCUGGCGGCAUGCUUAACACAUGCAAGUCGCACGGGCAGCUUCGGCUGUCAGUGGCGGACGGGUGAGUAACGCGUAGGUAUUUAUCCAGGGGUGGGGGACAACCGCGGGAAACUGCGGCUAAUACCGCAUGAUGACUGAGGUCUAAAGCCCUUCGGGGCGCCUUUGGCGAAGC